UAUGCAAUUUUAGUUUUGUAACUGCCACGC
Molecule: non-coding RNA, 30 nt
Filed under: Mus musculus (house mouse)
Lineage: Eukaryota; Metazoa; Chordata; Mammalia; Rodentia; Muridae
Source: RNAcentral